RNAcentral lists this ribosomal RNA (542 nucleotides) under Bifidobacterium pseudocatenulatum. Its description in RNAcentral is "bacterial SSU rRNA". It matches the Rfam family "Bacterial small subunit ribosomal RNA", at positions 998 to 1533 of the family's 1533-position model. The record is from RNAcentral. Lineage: Bacteria; Bacillati; Actinomycetota; Actinomycetes; Bifidobacteriales; Bifidobacteriaceae.
CUCUAGAGAUAGAGCUUCCCCUUCGGGGGCAAAGUGACAGGUGGUGCAUGGUUGUCGUCAGCUCGUGUCGUGAGAUGUUGGGUUAAGUCCCGCAACGAGCGCAACCCUUAUUGUUAGUUGCCAUCAUUUAGUUGGGCACUCUAGCAAGACUGCCGGUGACAAACCGGAGGAAGGUGGGGAUGACGUCAAAUCAUCAUGCCCCUUAUGACCUGGGCUACACACGUGCUACAAUGGGAAGUACAACGAGUCGCGAAGUCGCGAGGCUAAGCUAAUCUCUUAAAGCUUCUCUCAGUUCGGAUUGUAGGCUGCAACUCGCCUACAUGAAGCCGGAAUCGCUAGUAAUCGCGGAUCAGCACGCCGCGGUGAAUACGUUCCCGGGCCUUGUACACACCGCCCGUCACACCACGAGAGUUUGUAACACCCGAAGUCGGUGAGGUAACCUUUUGGAGCCAGCCGCCUAAGGUGGGAUAGAUGAUUGGGGUGAAGUCGUAACAAGGUAGCCGUAUCGGAAGGUGCGGCUGGAUCACCUCCUUUCUAAGGAA